This 2170-nucleotide long non-coding RNA is filed under the name Setaria italica (foxtail millet). RNAcentral's name for it is "long non-coding RNA (SITA_LNC003241)". Lineage: Eukaryota; Viridiplantae; Streptophyta; Magnoliopsida; Poales; Poaceae. The record is from RNAcentral.
GCGUGCAAAAUGCAAGUCACAGAAUAAACAUAAAAAUAACUGUACUUCAUUUGCCCUUUAUAAGGAAAAUGGCCCUAGGCUAUAAUGAUUUCAGUGAUUAAUGAUAACAUAGUUAUUGGGACUAAUGUGUUUGCAAGAUGUACCUUUGUACCUUUGUAGGUGUUUUAUAGGUUCCAAGAAUGAAAUACAAAAUCAUCAAAUGAUAAGAAAAAGAAAGACUUAGAAGAAUUCUAAGGCUCUCAAAUGAUGGUAAUGAAGCUGGGACAAAGACAUGUGGAGUCUUGAAGCGAAUCCUGCUAAAGAUUGUGCACCGACAUAAUCCACCGAUUCAUUCGGUGGUGAUCAAGUAUGGUCACCGAAUCAGUCGGUGACAAAAUGGACUGCAGCAGGGCCAAGGACGUGUACUAUGUGCACCGACACAUUCGGUGAGCACAGUAAGAUCGCACCGAAUCAAUCAGUGCUGUCGGCUCGGCUCGUGAUUGGCUCAGAUUCGGCUCUGAAACUUCUUGAGGUUAUUUUAGCUCACACCGAUUCAUACGGUGGGUACUGGAGCGGAGCGGCGAAUCAGUCGAUGAAGUGGGAAGCAGCGGCUUCACCAAUUCAUACGGUGAUGGCUAAGGAAUGACACCGAAUCAAUCGGUGACAAAGGGCUCAAGCGUCAGCGGUUCAACGGCUACCUUGAGGGACACCACCGACUCAUUCGGUGGUGCACAGCAGGGGGCACCGAAUCAAUCGAUGACCACGGUUUCUGUGACCGUUGGAGCAACGACUAGUUUUUGAGGUUGGCUCUAUUUAUACCCCAAGGCCCGGCCAUUUGAAGGGUGUUAGAGCUUGGAGAAACUGUUGCUUGUAUUCCACAUACACACAAGUGCUCUAGCCACCAAAGUGCUAAAGAGAAGAUUAAGGCAAUUAGCAUAAGGCUUAAGUCUUGAUUAGUGCUAAUUUAGACCUAUUAGUGCAUUGCUUUAGGGUUUAGCCUAGAGUUAGGCGAGGUUUGCACACCUCGUUUGUAUCGGUGCUUGCGCGCACCAAGAGUUGUAAAUCCGGGGCUUGUAAGUCUUGCGAGACCCUCCAACCGCGUUUGUGGAGUGGCCGUCGAUGCUUGUGAUAGGGAGGAGAGGCCCUAGGUGUUUUGCCGAAGCUCUACCAAGUGAAGAGCGGCAAUGAGCAUCCGGGAGAGGCUAGGUGGAGACCCACUUGCGCAUGGGGAAGGUCCGUCGGCUAUCCUACGGAGUUACUUGACCGGGGAGUUUAUACCCUUGCGUGGGCAUUCCCUUUGAUAGGGCUCCAACAACGAGGACUAGUGGAAAGCUUUGCUUUUCAAUACCUAGGAAAAAAUCGUUGUGUCGUCACGUCGGGAGUUUGCCUUCUCUACCUCAUUUACCUUCCGCAUUUCUUAUUGCACUUACAUUCCGCAUUUACCUUUCCUAGAAUUGCCAUGUGUAGUUUAUAGAAUUGGAACCUAGGGUGCAAAACUAUUUGCGGUAGAGAUAGCAACACAUAGAAAAAUCUAGUACACAUCUAGAUAGAAAUUGAUAUAGGUUUUUAUAUGUGCUUGGAGGCUUAGUUUUUAGAAUACCCAAUUCACGCCUCUCUUAGGGUGUCACGGUCCCUUCACCCUUCUUUGAUACUAUAUAUAACAUCACCCUCCUUCACCCUUCUUUGAUACUAUAUAUAACAUCACCCUCUAUGCAGAAACGCACUGCAACUUGCGCCUCACGCAUUCAUUGCCUUUGGAACACUACCUGAGCUUGGAUUGCUGCUUCACAGGUGACUUAGUCAAAUUCCGUUGCUUAUCCUACUAAUUCUAAAUAAAUCAGUGCUGCUUCAUGCUGCAAACAAGUCAACCGUUGCUAUUCCUAGUCCAUACCUGGGAUUUCCUAGGACUGAAUUACCAACAGCCUAGUGAACUUCUGUAGUGGAGCAAUUAUGUAGAAGACACGAUUAUUGCGAUAAUUGACAUAGGUGAAGUUCAGAUAUUCAUAAAUAUGGUGAAGUCCAGCCUGUCAACAUUUUUAAAGUACUAUAUUCAACAUUGGUAAAUGUAUAUUUCAACAUUUAAGUUUACCUAAUUCAACAUUUUUUUAGACUACAAUAAUGAAUAUAAAGAUGUCAUAUUCUCAUAUGAUCCAUAUUUCAACAAUCCUAAGUACUAUAUUCAACAUUUUGC